CGGUAGAGAGAAGCUUGCUUCUCUUGAGAGCGGCGGACGGGUGAGUAAAGCCUAGGAAUCUGCCUGGUAGUGGGGGAUAACGUUCGGAAACGGACGCUAAUACCGCAUACGUCCUACGGGAGAAAGCAGGGGACCUUCGGGCCUUGCGCUAUCAGAUGAGCCUAGGUCGGAUUAGCUAGUUGGUGAGGUAAUGGCUCACCAAGGCGACGAUCCGUAACUGGUCUGAGAGGAUGAUCAGUCACACUGGAACUGAGACACGGUCCAGACUCCUACGGGAGGCAGCAGUGGGGAAUAUUGGACAAUGGGCGAAAGCCUGAUCCAGCCAUGCCGCGUGUGUGAAGAAGGUCUUCGGAUUGU
RNAcentral lists this ribosomal RNA (357 nucleotides) under uncultured Pseudomonas sp. RNAcentral describes it as "bacterial SSU rRNA". It matches the Rfam family "Bacterial small subunit ribosomal RNA", at positions 67 to 426 of the family's 1533-position model. The record is from RNAcentral. Lineage: Bacteria; Pseudomonadati; Pseudomonadota; Gammaproteobacteria; Pseudomonadales; Pseudomonadaceae.